This 253-nucleotide ribosomal RNA is filed under the name uncultured bacterium. RNAcentral's name for it is "partial 16S ribosomal RNA". It matches the Rfam family "Bacterial small subunit ribosomal RNA", at positions 524 to 776 of the family's 1533-position model. The record is from RNAcentral.
UACGGAGGGAGCUAGCGUUAUUCGGAAUUACUGGGCGUAAAGCGCACGUAGGCGGCUUUGUAAGUUAGAGGUGAAAGCCUGGAGCUCAACUCCAGAACUGCCUUUAAGACUGCAUCGCUUGAAUCCAGGAGAGGUGAGUGGAAUUCCGAGUGUAGAGGUGAAAUUCGUAGAUAUUGGGAAGAACACCGGUGGCGAAGGCGGCUCACUGGCUCAUUACUGACGCUCAGGCGCGAUAGCGUGGGGAUCAAACAGG